UAUUAUGAGAGUUUGAUCCUAGCUCAGGAUGAACGCUGGCGGCGUGGAUAAGGCAUGCAAGUCGAGAGGGUUAGACCCUCGGCAAACGGGUUAGUAAUACAUAGGAAUCUGCCCUGAAGUCGUGAAUAACUCGGAGAAAUCCGUGAUAAUACACGAUAGUCUCUACGGAGUAAAGAUUUAUCGCUUCAGGAGGAGCCUAUGUCCUAUCAGCUUGUUGGUAGUGUAAUGGACUACCAAGGCUAUGACGGGUAGGGGGUGUGAGAGCACGACCCCCAACAUUGGGACUGAGACACUGCCCAAACUCCUACGGGAGGCUGCAGUCGAGAAUAUUCGUCAAUGCCCGAAAGGGUGAACGAGCGACGCCGCGUGCGGGAUGAAGGCCUUCGGGUCGUAAACCGCUUUUCUUAGGGAAGAAUGUAAUGACGGUACCUAAGGAAUAAGAGGCUACUAACUCUGUGCCAGCAGUAGCGGUAAUACAGAGGCCUCAAGCGUUAUCCGGAUUUAUUGGGCGUAAAGAGCAUGUAGGCGGAUAUGUUAGUCGGAUGUCAAAUCUCAGGGCUCAACCCUGAAACUGCAUUCGAAACGGCAUAUCUAGAGACAGUCAGAGAUCAAUGGAACGUAUGGUGUAGCAGUGAAAUGCGUUGAUAUCAUACGGAACACCAAAGGCGAAGGCAUUUGGUUAGGGCUGUUCUGACGCUGAGAUGCGAAAGCGUGGGUAGCGAAUGGGAUUAGAUACCCCAGUAGUCCACGCCGUAAACGAUGCAUACUAGGUAUUAAGAGAAUCGACCCUCUUAGUGUCGUAGCUAACGCGUUAAGUAUGCCGCCUGGGAAGUACGGUCGCAAGACUAAAACUCAAAGGAAUAGACGGGGAUCCGCACAAGUGGUGGAGCAUGUGGUUUAAUUCGACGGUAAGCGGGACACCUCACCAUGGUUUGAAACUAUACUGCAUUAUACAGAAAUGUAUAAGCCUUCGAGGGUGUAUAGCAGGCGCUGCACGGUUGUCGUCAGCUCGUGUCGUAAGAUGUUCUGUUAAGUCAGGAAACGAGCGCAACCCCUAUCGUGUGUUAUAUUGUCACACGAGACUGCCCGGAACUUUGCGCAUUAGCGCAAAGUAAAUUCAAAAUAUAAAAUUACAAAUCCUAAAUAAAUUCAAAAUUAUAAAUUUCAAAAUUUAAAACGAAAGUUUUGGACAUUGAAAUUUUGAUCAUUGGAUAUUGUUUGGAAUUUGAUAUUUGUAAUUUGUGAUUUACUUUGUUCGUUAGUGAAUAAAGUUCCGGGAGGAAGGUGGGGAUGACGUCAAAUCAGCGUGGCCCUUUGACACCAUGGGCAACACACGUGCUACAAUGGCCAAUACAAAGGGUUGCCAAGUCGUAAGACGGAGCUAAUCCCAAAAAGUUGGUCUCAGUUCGGAUUGGAGUCUGCAACUCGACUCCAUGAAGCCGGAAUCACUAGUAAUCGUAGAUCAGAACGCUACGGUGAAUACGUUCUCGGAUCUUGUACUCACCGCCCGUCACACCAAGAGAGUCGGUAAUACCCAAAGACCCUGUUUCAAAGCAGGGGCCACGGUGGGAUCGAUAAUAAGGGUGAAGUCGUAACAAGGCAUCCGUAGCGGAAGCUGUGGAUGGAUCACCUCCUUU
RNAcentral lists this ribosomal RNA (1637 nucleotides) under Candidatus Moraniibacteriota bacterium. Its description in RNAcentral is "bacterial SSU rRNA". It matches the Rfam family "Bacterial small subunit ribosomal RNA". Lineage: Bacteria; Candidatus Moraniibacteriota. The record is from RNAcentral.